GCUGGGAGCAGUGGCGCACGCCUGUCAUCUCAGCAGCUCGGGAGGCUGAGACAGGAGGAUGGCGAGUUCAAAGCCAGCCUCAGCAACUUAGCGAGACCCUGUCUCAA
Molecule: small RNA, 107 nt
Filed under: Marmota monax (woodchuck)
Lineage: Eukaryota; Metazoa; Chordata; Mammalia; Rodentia; Sciuridae
Source: RNAcentral